Long non-coding RNA from Sinocyclocheilus anshuiensis, 328 nucleotides. RefSeq lists it as uncharacterized. The transcript is spliced from 3 exons. The record is from RefSeq and is a predicted model, not a curated record. Lineage: Eukaryota; Metazoa; Chordata; Actinopteri; Cypriniformes; Cyprinidae.
ACGUGCAGUGUUGGGGUGCCUCCAGGACCAGGGUUGGGAACCAUUGAUCUAGACAGCUAAAGGAGAAAAUAAGAGACCAAUCUUUGUUUUAAUUUGACAGAAAAUGUUUAUUUCCCCAUUCAAAGAAUUUAAAGAAAGGUGAUUAGUGAAAAACAAGUCAACAUCCAAACUGAGGAGUGGGAAGGAGCUGGAGGAAGCGGGAUGGCUCCAGAUGACAAACAGUCACACGUCUUUGGCUCUAACAGCAGCAGGGGCGGCGUCUACACGCCAUAGCAGGCUGAAAGCCUCUCCUUCAGCAGCGGUGGAAACUGUUCGGAGAACUGCUGCC